CCCAGCAGGACGGGAGCG
This 18-nucleotide microRNA is filed under the name Homo sapiens (human). Its description in RNAcentral is "hsa-miR-4530". The record is from miRBase by way of RNAcentral. Lineage: Eukaryota; Metazoa; Chordata; Mammalia; Primates; Hominidae.